CCUACGGGGGGCAGCAGUGGGGAAUAUUGGACAAUGGGCGAAAGCCUGAUCCAGCCAUGCCGCGUGAGUGAUGAAGGCCUUAGGGUUGUAAAGCUCUUUUGUCCGGGAAGAUAAUGACUGUACCGGAAGAAUCAGCCCCGGCUAACUUCGUGCCAGCAGCCGCGGUAAUACGAAGGGGGCUAGCGUUGCUCGGAAUCACUGGGCGUAAAGGGCGCGUAGGCGGACUUUUAAGUCGGAGGUGAAAGCCCAGGGCUCAACCCUGGAAUUGCCUUCGAGACUGGGAGGCUUGAGUUAGGAAGAGGUGGGUGGAACUGCGAGUGUAGAGGUGAAAUGCGUAGAUAUUCGCAAGAACACCGGUGGCGAAGGCGGCCAACUGGUCCGAAACUGACGCUGAGGCGCGAAAGCGUGGGGAGCAAACAGGAUUAGAUACCCUAGUAGUC
This 440-nucleotide ribosomal RNA is filed under the name uncultured bacterium. Its description in RNAcentral is "partial 16S ribosomal RNA". It matches the Rfam family "Bacterial small subunit ribosomal RNA", at positions 338 to 795 of the family's 1533-position model. The record is from RNAcentral.